AGCGAACGCUGGCGGCAGGCUUAACACAUGCAAGUCGAGCGCCCCGCCAGGGGAGCGGCAGACGGGAGAGUAACACGUGGGAACAUACCUUUUGGUUCGGAACAACUGAGGGAAACUUCAGCUAAUACCGGAUAAGCCCUUACGGGGAAAGAUUUAUCGCCGUAAGAUUGGCCCGCGUCUGAUUAGCUAGUUGGUGAGGUAACGGCUCACCAAGGCGACGAUCAGUAGCUGGUCUGAGAGGAUGAUCAGCCUCACUGGGACUGAGACACGGCCCAGACUCCUACGGGAGGCAGCAGUGGGGAAUAUUGGACAAUGGGGGCAACCCUGAUCCAGCCAUGCCGCGUGAGUGAUGAAGGCCUUAGGGUUGUAAAGCUCUUUUGCCCGGGAAGAUAAUGACGGUACCGGGAGAAUAAGCCCCGGCUAACUUCGUG
RNAcentral lists this ribosomal RNA (431 nucleotides) under uncultured bacterium. RNAcentral's name for it is "partial 16S ribosomal RNA". It matches the Rfam family "Bacterial small subunit ribosomal RNA", at positions 29 to 507 of the family's 1533-position model. The record is from RNAcentral.